This 254-nucleotide non-coding RNA is filed under the name Lachnobacterium bovis. RNAcentral's name for it is "T-box sequence". It matches the Rfam family "T-box leader". From Rfam's summary of the family: Uncharged tRNA acts as the effector for transcription antitermination of genes in the T-box leader family. T-boxes are found upstream of many aminoacyl-tRNA synthetase genes and some amino acid biosynthetic genes usually in Gram-positive bacteria. The anticodon of a specific tRNA base pairs to a specifier sequence within the T-box motif, and the NCCA acceptor tail of the tRNA base pairs to a conserved bulge in the T-box antiterminator hairpin. The record is from RNAcentral. Lineage: Bacteria; Bacillati; Bacillota; Clostridia; Lachnospirales; Lachnospiraceae.
UUAAACGCAUUGAAGAAAAGAGUAGUUUUAUUAAAGCUGAUAAAGAGAGCUCUUGUGUGGUGAGAAAGAGACGGCCGUAUAGAAUGAAGAUGGUUUUGGAGUGGCGAGACUGAACUAUAAUUAGUAGAUAAGUUUCGACAGGUGCGCCUGUUAUAGCGUGAUUAAGUAAUUUAUAUUUUAUGAGUUACUUAUAGAGGCUUUUGUUGUGAGACAAAAGUAAAAUGAAGUGGUAACGUGAAUAAUUCGCCUUCUGU